ACCAACUAACCAACUAAAUGUGAGAGAAGUUCUCUCAUGAAGUUCAUGCUCCCAGCAGCAGUCACAUUCAUUUGUGAACUGUUGGGUACUACACUGCCUUAU
RNAcentral lists this unclassified non-coding RNA (102 nucleotides) under uncultured soil eukaryote. RNAcentral's name for it is "sequence contains ITS2". The record is from RNAcentral.